Molecule: ribosomal RNA, 327 nt
Filed under: Staphylococcus aureus
Lineage: Bacteria; Bacillati; Bacillota; Bacilli; Caryophanales; Staphylococcaceae
Description: partial 23S ribosomal RNA
Rfam family: Bacterial large subunit ribosomal RNA
Source: RNAcentral
UAAUCGAUGGGGGGACGCAGUAGGAUAGGCGAAGCGUGCGAUUGGAUUGCACGUCUAAGCAGUAAGGCUGAGUAUUAGGCAAAUCCGGUACUCGUUAAGGCUGAGCUGUGAUGGGGAGAAGACAUUGUGUCUUCGAGUCGUUGAUUUCACACUGCCGAGAAAAGCCUCUAGAUAGAAAAUAGGUGCCCGUACCGCAAACCGACACAGGUAGUCAAGAUGAGAAUUCUAAGGUGAGCGAGCGAACUCUCGUUAAGGAACUCGGCAAAAUGACCCCGUAACUUCGGGAGAAGGGGUGCUCUUUAGGGUUAACGCCCAGAAGAGCCGCAG